RNAcentral lists this long non-coding RNA (35658 nucleotides) under Medicago truncatula (barrel medic). Its description in RNAcentral is "long non-coding RNA (MTRU_LNC007968)". Lineage: Eukaryota; Viridiplantae; Streptophyta; Magnoliopsida; Fabales; Fabaceae. The record is from RNAcentral.
UUAUUUACUUCUUAAGUUAUCUCAAAGUGCUUUUCUUUUAUUGGAGUACUUUGGUAUGUUUGAAACAUUACUAACUUAGUAUCCUAUCCAUUUCCUUUUUCCCACGUUCUGUUGGUUACAAUGCCAAGCCACGUCUUGCUUCAAAAUAUAACAUACAAAAAUGAAAUGAUCAAGUAGUGAGGUUGAAAUUAAAUUUGGAAAUGCAAUUGAAGAUUCUUCAGCACUUUCUAUGGUUCUGCAUUUGUUUUUUUUGUUACAAGGCUAAAGAAAAGAAACAAAAAGAGAAAGGAAAACAAGAAAAGAAUAGAAACAGCUAGUUCCUAAGGAAUAAAGUUCCCAUCUCAUCUGUCAAAAGCAGCGACAGCAGGUCUUCAAGAAGAGAUGAGUAGACAGUUAAAUCAACAUCUGUUGUAGCUCCUAGCUUCGCCACAAAGUCCACACAAUGAUUACCCUAUCUGAACGAGUGAUGAAUAAAGUAAUUUCUUGAAUUCAGCAGGUCCUUAAUAUUUUGAAUGAACACAACAUAGACAUGAAAGAAGGAAGUGUCUCCCUUGAUGAGAUUAACCACAAGCAGAGAGUCAGAAUAACAUACCAAUUCCUCAAAAUCUAAAUUUACUGCCAAUUGUAACCCCUGAUAUAUCGCUGUCAGUUCUGCAAAAAGGAUGUCGUUGGGACUAUUUAUGAAUCCUGAAAAUCCAGUGACAUAGCUUCCUGAAUAGCUUUGGAUAACACCUCCAAAACCUGUGCGAAUUGGGUCUCCAAUACAGCUACCGUCACAUUGAGAAUGGUGCAGACAUGGUUGUCGUUGUUCCAACGGACCAGCCUUGUUGGAGGAGAAGUGCUAGCGUCAUUAUGCAGGCAUCGACAGAUGAUUUAUGCUAUGCUGUUAAUGGCAGAACCGAGGCGAUAAACUGACCAAGUUUCAUUAUUAAGGCACAUAAGAUUGAGGUGCCUCCAAGUCCACCAUAACCCCGCAAGAAAGAUAGUGGAACGGUGGCAACUAACUCCCUCUUUUAAGCAAUCAAGAACAGAAGAGGACGAGAAGAAUGACGGACUAGUGAAGCCAAUUUUAUGCCAAAUAAUAGUGGAAAAUCUGCUGUCCCGAACGCAAUGGAGAAAUGACUUUUCGUGGUCACCGCACUUGUUGCAGAUGGCUGAAUUGGUCAUGUUCCUACGGUUGAGCAAAGACAAAGUAGGGACAACGUUGUGACAAGCAAGCCAGACAAAAAAAUUGAAUUUUUCCGGAACUUUUAAUCUCCAAAUCCAAGCCGAAGUUGUGUUGUUAUAGUUCUCAUUUUCUGUUUGUGAUAAAAUCCAAUUGUAUCCACUAUUCGUAGAGUAAACACCACUGUUAUUAUGAGGCCAAAUAUAAGCAUCAUCUAUGGAAGCGUUAAAAGUGAGACAAGUGUUGUUGAUGACUUCAGCUAUAUCUGUUGGGAGGAUGGUGUAGAGCGCUUGAGACCGUUGACCAGCAAUGGUGAAAAAAUCUUUUAUUGUUAGAUGAAGAUCAUGAAUAUCCACAAAGGGAACCUGAGUAGCAAGCUUACCAAGAGAACUCCAGUUGGUGUGCCAAAAGGAAGAAUUACCUGAACCUGCUCUCCAUGUGUAACCGCUUUUUAGAACACUUUUUGCUUGGAUAAUGGAAGACUAGGAUGGGGAGUUGUUGUGAUGGGCUGUUGCCGUGUGAAGGAAAUUAUGGCCACUAGAAUAAUUACUAGAAAGAAGAUUCACCCAUAAUUUGUCAGUUUUUUGUACCAUGUUCCAAAAAAGCUUCCCUAGGAGACAAGUGUUAGCUUCUCUAGCUGAACGAAUACCCAAACCCCUUAAUUUUAUCGGACUAGCAACUGUCUCUCAAUUUACAAGAUGAAUACCUUUGUUGUUGUGAUUAUCUAAAUAAAAUUACGAGUGGUUUGGUCAAUACUGUCGCAAAUAUUUUGAGGAAGCCAAUUUAUUUGCAUAUAAUAUGUUGGAAUGGAGGAUAAAACAGAUGAAGCUAGAGUCAGUCUACAUGUUUUAUUGAGAAGUUUGCUCUUCCAAGUUGCUAGUCUAUUUUGCAUUUGUUCAAUUAUGAAUAAAAAAUCACUCCUCUUAGGCCGCCCUUUGAGGAUAGGGAAGCCUAGGUACUUGUCAAGAGAUGUUGUGCUGCGGAUUCCAGAUAUAGCUGUGAGCUUGUGAACUUUUGCUGGAGGAGUACCUGAAGAAAAGAAAUCUCUAGACUUAGAGAGAUUAAUCUUUAAGCCUGAAGUCUUGCUGAAACCGUCAAAUAAAUCGGACACAAAUUUGAACUGGGAGCCUUUGGCUUUUAUGAAGAGAAGAACGUCAUCCGCAAAGAGAAGAUGAGAUAAAUGAGGCCCUGUGGUGGUGAUCUGAAUAGGUUCCCAACUUCCUUGAUUCACUGCAUUAUUAAUAGCCAUAGAGAGUUUCUCCAUGCAAAGAAUGAAAAGGUAUGGAGAGAGUGGAUCCCCUUGCCGAAGGCUAUGAGUCGGUUUGAACUGAGGCAAUUUAUUUCCAUUCCAUAAAAUAGAGAAAGUGGAUGAAGUAACACAGUGCAUAAUAAGCUUAAUGGUAAUAUCAGGGAAACCAAAAUCAUGAAGACAAUUAUCAAGGAAUUCUCAUUUGACAUUAUCAAAAGCUUUCUCGAGAUCAAGUUUAAAAGCCACAUAGCCUUUCUUCUUUUUGGAUAUUCUCAUGAAGUGAACAAUUUCCUGCAAAACAAUUGAAUCUUGGUUCUACAUUUGUUUCAUCAUAUCAAGUUUAGAUUGAAAAGUUUAAAUGGACUAUAUGCAAAUAUUAGUGACAAACCUCCAAAGUUUUGUAAUCAUAAACAAAAUUAGGUGUUCUGCAUUAACAAAUCUCUGGUUGGGAAUUUUUGUGUAAAAUCAAUAAUAUAAUAUGCAGUCAUACAAUUCUUACUAUUGAAAUUUGUAUUUCUCAUUUUUUUUCAAAAUCUAUUAUAUAUCUGCAUAAUAAGAAACACUAACUAAAUUUUUUCUAUACAUAUAUAUUUUUUUUCCCAUCGUGCUUGUGCAUAAUGCUUUUUUCUUUUCAAAAUAUUGUGUUUUUUUAUUUUUUAUUUUAAAAUAUUGAUUUUUUUUUUCUCCAAAAUAUUUAGAAUGUUUUUCUUUAUUCUCAUUGGUUCCUUAGAGGUAUAUACGAGACGUGUCAGACACUAAAUAUGAAUGUCUCUUUACGUUAUCGCCUCGUAGGAGUUUAAAUCAUUCCGCUAAACUAACUUUCGCUGGUAAUUUUUUUACAAUGUUAUUGGUAUCAUACUGAUAUUUUACUAAAUGAUAGUUAAUUUAACCAUUCGUAUAAACAACACCAAUAACAAAACCUUAUUUUUUUUAAGAAAGAAUUACAGUACAGAAAUUCUCUAUCAUAUGUAAAAAUAAACAGAAUUUCAAGUGUGAACCUAUUCUCCCAUAAUUCUGUCGUUUUACAACCUUAGAUAUUGAUUCAUCAAAGUUGUAAUAACUACUAUUUAAAAUUGUGAAGUGUAUAGUUAAAUAUUUACUACAUGCAAUAAUGUUAAAUAUUUAACAAGAAAAUAAAAACCUAAAAAGUAUUUAGUAAUCCAUUCUCGACUGAAUCAUCAUUUUCAUAGCAACUGGCAAAUCCAAAUUGCUCCAAAACACCCAACCAUGUCUACCGUCAACUAACACCAAAACAAUUAUUGUAUUUAUUUAUGAAUAUUUAGCAAUAUAUAGUACAGUAUAGCAGCAUAAUCAAUUCAAGCAGCAAAGCAAGCAAAACAGCUUUCCUUAUUUAAUUUCUUGUAACACGCAAUUCCAAGAUUAAAAAUUAGCAUGAAAUUAAUAGCACUCCACCUAGUACAUGUUGUGGCACCCACACAAAUUCAACCCUUUCAAACCUCCAUGAACUUAGACACUAUACGAGCACUAUUCAUGGAAGCCCUAAGCUGGUUUUCUUUUCAAGAAUCUUGGUUUUAAUUAAUUAAUAGUAUUGUAUAUUCUAUCUUCCCUAGUUUGCAUCUCUGAUUUUGAUACACGAGUUGAUAUUGAUGUAGACCGUGGAAUCAAUAUACAUAUAGAGGCUUAAUUCAACUUUGUUAGUUUAUCUUAGUUCUUAAAAUAUUUUUACAAAUUUAAUUGGUGAAAUAAAAAAGUUUUCCAUAUGUAUCCAAUAAUGUCUAAUUAAUUUGUUACUUUAUAUUAGUUCUUAAAAUAUUUUUAUAAAUUGCUAGAUAGUGAGGUAUAACUUAAUACAUGUAUAAAACUUGUUUAUAUUAAUGGAGUGUAUAACGAGACUAAAAUUACACAAUUACCAUACUUCAAAACUAUUUGAUAAAAUUUUAAUAUUUUAUUAAAAACAAAAAGAGCAAUAUAUUCUUCAUAAUUUUUAGUACAAUAUAGUAUUAAAUAGGAAUUUCUGUAUGAUGUUUAGCACUAGACGUGCAUGUCAGUGUGACCACUACUUUAUUUUUUCUUAAUAUCAUAAUUCUUAUACAUUAUAUUAAGAAAAUUUAAAUAAAUUAUUUCCGUUGUAUUUUUCAAAUGCAACCAGGCAGUUUCAUCACAGCUCAAAUGACGUGAGACUCAAAAUCACACCCUUUAUAAAAUAUGAGUCAUAUAUUUAUGAACUAAAUAAAAAUUCGUUGGUUUGUGUGGUGUUGUAUAUUUUUUUUUGAUAGAACGUGGCGUUGUAUAUAUAUUUUGUAUGAUAAACAAUUUUUUAUUUUUUUUUAUAGAUUUAUUGGCAUGAGAUCGUCGGCGCACAUCAUAAUAUAUAAAAGAUAGAUGUCACAAAAUAGUUGUAUAAAUAUCAUUUCUCUAUAUAAAAUGGUCACUAUGUCUAGAAUCAUAUCACAUAUUGUCAAAAUCAUUUCGAAGAUACAAUAUAGGUGACAUAAGUGAUAGAUAUUUGCGUCAUUUAACGAUUUAGUUUAGGGUUCACCGUUGCAUUUGCGAGUGUGAAUACCUAAUUUCACAAACUAAUAAAAUAAAACAAUUUGUGAAUCAUCAAGCCUUCCACAAACAUCAAAUAUUAAUCAACUUUAUUAAUAUUACAUUUGAUGGAUUUGAUAAAAUAUUACACGUUCUAAAAUAAAACAUAUUUUCAUCAACUGAAUAGGUCAAAAACUAGUUGCAUUGUAGUAGCCUAAAACACUUAUUGAGUGAAUGAAUGGCCAACGUCAACAUACGAGAAGAAAAACAAAAACAAACUUGCCACCCUAUUGUGUGGAAAUGAAUUGAUAAUUAGUCAAUAUCAAUAAUUAAGCUUAUCCAGGUAUCAUGGUUAGUCUACAUUAUACGAGAAUCCCAUUUUAAAGACUUUUAUCAUAUAAUCUCAUUUUUCUCCAUUGUCAACUCAUCACUUUUCCCUAACCACUUGAAAAAUAUAAAACUUUUGUUGUUUAUAUAUACGUCUUAAAGACUCCAUGAGUGCUCUUAUGGUCUUUCAUAACAUUUCCUUGGUCCCGAUUCGGAUGCGUAAUAGGUGGCACAAUGCUCGCAAUUGUGGUAUUCAUGUCAUCUCAUCUCAUAUUUUCCGUGAAGGCAACUGUUGUGCUGACAAGUUGGCAGCCAUGGGUCAUUCAGCUCACGGCACUGUCUGGUUUACCUCGUUACCCCAAAAUGUGACUGCUGAUUUUUUCAGGGAUAGAGUAGGUCUGCUCAAUUACAGAUUCCCUUAAUCUGCUGCUUCUUGUUUUUUCUUUUUCCUUUUUAGCUUUUGCUUUGAGGGUCUUGGCCUAGUCCCCCCUCUUGUAUAUAUUUUUCCCCUUUUUUUUAAUAAUAUUUUGAGCUUGGCGGCGUAGGAUGGAGGUUCUCCGGGGUGACAACCUAGUUGGGAUGUCGGAGGUCCCUCUUGAUGCCUGCCUGCCCUUUCUCCUGGUUUAUCCAAAAAUAUAUACGUCUUAAAAAAUUGUACAUUUUAUUUUCAUUUUUCUAUCUUUGUUAUCAAUUAUACAAAUAUUUGACCUUAUGUUAUAAGUAUGUAAAUAACGUGCAAGUUGUAAUUUCCCUAAAAAAAAAGAGUGCAAGUUGUACUUAAUUUAUUUUUAUAUAAAUUUGGAAAACUAGAAAUGUUACAUAAAUGAAUGUUACAAAUCGACAAAUUAACCUCGUAUUAUAGGUCGUAUUUUAGGUUUGAGUCAUAUGAUACAAUCUCUAGAUUUUUUUUCUAUACUCUAGAAAUAGAUUAUAACAAAGGAAAAAGAAUAAAAACAAACGGAACAUAAACCUAACAUAGGGAAAGAAAGAGAGAAAAAGAAAUAAAGAAAAAAGUUGACAAAUGCAAUAUAUUUUCUCCCUUCGAAAUUUUCUCAUGAUUAUUUCUUGGGAUCUCAUUUUGAACAUCAUAUUUUGCACAUCAACCAAAUUAACAUUGACAUUAUGACGUUCACAUAUAAAUCUUCUCAUAAAUAUUUGAACAAAGGGAUGUUAAUUUAGUUAAUUGAUCCAAGUCAACCAUUAUAUUUGCUCUCUAUGAUCCUUGGCCUUCCAUUGUUGUGUUGGCUCGGAGACAUUAUUUUCCUCGAUCCUCUCCCCAUUUAGUCUCAACUAUUAAAAGGGACUAACGGAGGGUGACAUGACACUGAUGUUGCUAAGUUCAUGUUCCACAAUUUAUGUGUCAUUUAGUCUGGUUAAAUCGCAUUUAGCUAAAUAGAAGAAUAUAAUUCCCAAAUUUCUUCGUCGUUCUUAUGUUGAAGGUGGAUCUAAACCAUGGCCUCAAAUAUGAGAUUUCAGCAUUGCUAUGUCUAUGGCUUAGUGGUGAUAUGUUGAAGUCGUAAGAAUGAUCAAGAAAUUUGGAAAUUCUAUUCUUCUAUUUAGUCACGGUUCCAUCGUGGCUAAAAUAGCCUUGACCGUGGCUAAAUGAUAACAACGUAAACUUAGCCACGUGGCUAAAGAUGGCACGUGUGGCAGUGACAUGUCACCCUUAGUUAAUCUCAAUUAAUAACAUGGAUUAAAAGUGUUGACGGAAACUUUUGGGGACCAAAAAAAGUGGAAAAUAUUUAGGGACAAAAAAAAAAAAUUGGGAUAUUUAUAUACACCAUUUAUUUAUCAAACCUAAAUGAAAAUAAAAGAUAAAACAAAAAUAUUUUCUUAGAACAACUUGACCUUAAAUAAAAUGGUUGACUUGGAUCAAAUAAUAGAAUUAAUAUAUGAAUCAUAAUAUCUCAUCCUGAUAGUUGAUACAAAGCUUCAAAUAAUUAAUUAUAUAUAUAUAUAUUUCCACCUAUCUCUUUUCCAACUCUAUAUAUAGGCAUAGCAUUGGCUUGCCACAAGAAAAAAAACAAGUUAAGGGUGAUAUCCUCUCUUGCAAACAUCACUUGGUUUGGUACUUUCACAUUGUCUCCUUUUGAUUCAAUUAUAUUCUUUAUCCAAAUUAAACGGCAAUUCCAAUAUUAUUCUGUUAAAUUAAGCUAAACUUCACAUGACAAAAUGUAAUUAUGCAGCUAUCAGUUGACUAAGAAAAAUAGACUUUCAUGCUAAAUUACAAAAGCUACUUUUUGUUUCUGAAUUUUUGCUGAUUAGUGUAUGGUUUUUUGCAGGUUAUUAAAAUGAGUCAAGUUUUUAGUGAUGAUGCUGUGUCAAGGGCCAUGGAAGAAAUAAAGAGCAAUCCUUCAUCACGUGGACACGGUGGUGCUAUUCUUCCACAUAUGCACAAAGUUUCAGGUCCUCCUAAGCAGACACUUUUCCAAGAUUUCAAACACAGUUUCAAUGAAACUUUCUUCUCAGAUGACCCUUUUGCCAAGUUUAAAGACCAAACAAAGAAAAGAAAGUUUGUUCUUGGACUCCAAUCUGUUUUCCCUAUUUUGGAAUGGGGAAGAGGUUACAAUCUUAAAAGUUUCAAGGGUGAUUUGAUUUCUGGACUCACCAUUGCAAGUCUUUGCAUUCCUCAGGUAUAUUUAUUUGUACAAAUGUCUCAAAGUAAAAUCUAUUUGUGUAAAUAUUAUGGCAUGUCGAUACAUAGAAAUCUGAUUAGACGUUUGUGUAAAUGUGAAUGCAUAAACAGGAUAUUGCAUAUGCAAAGCUUGCAAAUUUGGAACCUCAGUAUGCACUAUGUAAGCAACUUUGAUAUAUUAUGUAGUUCAGAUUAUAUACCUUCUUCAGUUAAUAUUGACGACGAGUUUGGUUUUGCAGAUACAAGUUUUGUUGCUCCUCUUGUGUAUGCUUUCAUGGGAAGUUCAAGAGAUAUUGCCAUAGGACCAGUAGCUGUGGUGUCUCUCUUGCUUGGAAGUCUGCUUUCAGAGGAGAUCAGUGACUUCAAAAGUCCUGAAUACCUUGCUCUUGCUUUUACUUCCACUUUCUUUGCAGGAGUCGUUCAAAUGGCACUUGGAGUUUUAAGGUAAACUACAGUACGUACUACUAUAAAUGCAUGGUUCUUGUCUUGUGUAUGCUUUGACUAAUUCCUUUUUCUUCAUUUUGCAGGCUUGGUUUCUUGAUUGACUUCCUAUCUCAUGCUGCCAUUGUUGGAUUCAUGGGUGGAGCUGCCAUUACUAUUGCACUCCAACAACUUAAAGGUCUUCUUGGUAUAAAAAAAUUCACCAAGAAAACUGAUAUUGUUUCUGUCAUGACAUCGGUUUUUAAGGCAGCCCACCAUGGGGUAAGCCUUCAUUUUCUUUUGAAAUCUUCCUCAAGUAUAUUAUCUAUUUGCAAGACUAUUCAUAAGUUGUUUUCAGCUUAUUUUCAUAAGUUAGUCAGGAUGACUUAUGAAAACAGCAUAUAGCUUAUAUGAAAACAACUAGACUUUAUUUUAUCUAUUGUUAUAGAAAGAGUUUAUAAAUAAGCAAUUAUAUGAUAAGAGUUUAUGCGAUAAGUACGUGAUUAAGUUGUUUCUGCUUACAGUGGAAUUGGCAGACAAUAAUAAUUGGACUAUCAUUCUUGGUCUUCCUUUUUAUAACAAAAUAUAUUGUAAGAAUGCCAAAAACUACCCUUCCUCUCUUCAUUUCCAUUUAAUAUUUACAUUUAUUGACCCUUUUAUGACUAUUCUUAUGUUGCAAUAAAACAGGCUAAGAAGAAUAAGAAACUCUUUUGGGUGUCUGCAAUGUCUCCUAUGAUUUGUGUUAUAGCGUCUACUCUUUCUGUUUACAUUACAAGGGCAGACAAGGAUGGAGUAGCAAUUGUAAGUAGCAUAUAGUUAUUUCUUCAAUAAUUUUAAACAAAAUGAAGCACUGUUUUUAAGACUCAAAAGUAUGCUAUUUCAGGUGAGACAUAUUGAGAAGGGUGUGAAUCCAUUAUCUAUUAAUAAAUUAAUUUUCAGUGGAAAAUAUUUUAGUGCUGCUAUUCGGAUUGGUUUGAUUUCUGGUAUGGUCGCACUCACGGUAAGCAAAUUUACUGAAAAUUCCUCAUCCCUUUUGUUUCAUAAACAUUUAUAGAACAUUUGAGUCAAUAUUGAUUUUAAAUUUAUAGGAAGCUGUGGCUAUUGGAAGAACAUUUGCUGCUAUGAAAGACUAUUCACUAGAUGGUAACAGAGAAAUGGUGGCACUAGGAACAAUGAACGUUGUUGGUUCUUUGACAUCUUGCUACGUGGCUACAGGUACCAAAGAGGGCUUAUUUACUGUUUGAGAGAGCUUAUGAAAACAGCUUAUGACAUGUCCAUAAACUGUUUUUAGCUUAUUUUCAAAACCUCGCCAUGAUGGCUAAUGAAAUUGACUUUAUUAUAUCUUUUCUUAUAGAAAUAUCUUAUGCACUUCAAUCAAAUCUUUUUUAUUUUGGCUUGAAUACACUUUUGGUCCUUUACUUUUGCUGAUUCGCGAUUUUUGUUCCCCUAGUUUCACGAUUAUUACCGUUAUCUUGAUGAGCGUUUCCGAUUUUUUUUUUCAGGAUCAUUUUCUCGCUCAGCUGUGAACUAUAUGGCUGGUUGUAAAACUGCUGUAUCAAACAUAGUUAUGGCCACAGUGUUGCUGUUAACUCUGUUAGUGAUUACACCACUAUUCAAGUACACUCCAAAUGCAGUGCUUGCCUCAAUUAUUAUAGCUGCCGUGAUGAGCCUGAUCGACUAUGAAGCAGCCAUUCUUCUGUGGAAGAUUGACAAAUUUGAUUUUCUAGCUUGCAUGGGAGCCUUCUUUGGUGUCAUCUUCAAAAGUGUUGAAGUUGGCCUUGUGAUUGCGGUAAUCAAAAUAUCAAACCAUUUCUCCUUUAAAUCAAGGUUUUUCAUGUUUCUGCGAAUGCAAUUGUAGCUAGCUACAUAUUAGCUGUAUUUGGCAAUAAUAUUUACGAUAUUAAAUAUUGCGAUCAUUGGAAAAACUCAAGUCCCACGUUGAAAAGAGAUAAACUUUGAAAAUACGUAGAGAGUGACAUUACUCACGUUACAAGCCGAUUGUGUAAAUAUGAGUUAUGUCUAGUAUAAAAACUUAAUAUUAUCAGAGCUUAAAGGUUUGAAAGAAGUUUACAAAUACUAAUACUUAUCACUUUACAAACCAUCACUUGACCUACUUAUAGUAUCAGAGUUUAUAGGUCUGAAAAGAGAUUAUAACGAGUUUGACAACUUAAACUUACAAACCGCAACUAUGAACCUACGAUUUAAAACCUUGUUUAACAUUUACUUAACCCUCUUGAUGCAUGCAGGUGGCAAUAUCUUUUGCCAAAAUUCUUUUACAAGUGACAAGGCCAAAGACUGCAGUACUAGGGAAGCUUCCAGGGACAACUGUUUAUAGGAACAUCCUGCAAUAUCCUAAAGCAGCACAGAUUCCAGGCAUGUUGAUUGUCAGGGUUGAUUCUGCAAUCUAUUUCUCGAACUCCAACUACAUCAAGGACAGGUAUAUAUUAUCAAGUUUCUACACACUUUCUGAUCAAUUUUGAUGGAAUUGAGGCUGAUGAAUGAGUGAAACAUAAUUUACAGAAUAUUGAAGUGGCUGACUGAUGAAGAGAUUCUAAGGACAUCAAGUGAAUAUCCAAGUAUACAACAUCUCAUUGUCGAAAUGUCACGUAAGACUUUUAAUGAAAUCCUUUCAUCCACUUUUUCAUGAUUUAUUUUGAUGAUUGAAUUUAAUAAUUAAGCAACCAUAUUAUUGUAGCUGUUACUGAUAUUGACACUAGUGGCAUCCAUUCCUUUGAAGAUUUACUUAAGAGCCUCAAGAAAAGAGAUAUCCAGGUAGUUAACAUUUACAAAAUUCUAACAUUUAUUUUUAUUUUUCUACAUCAUUAGUCAUUACUAUAAGAACUCUUCUUAAAAUUGGAAACAAAUGGUAAACAGUUCCAAUGUUUGAUCUCUGAAAUUAACAAAAUUCAAAAUGAUUUUGAAGUUAUCCAUUCAAUUAAAUGUACAACCACAUGCUUGUAAUGGCAUAGCUUAAUUCAAUCAAGCAGUGAAAUAAUUUCUUGUGUGCCAAGAAAUCCAUCUAUGAUGAUAUUAUUAUAAUUUAUAACACUGCUUCAACUUGUACUAAAAUAUUAUUCAUGUUUGUGACGUUUUGACAGCUUCUCUUGGCAAACCCGGGACCAAUUGUAAUCGAGAAACUGCAUGCAUCGAAAUUAUCAGACUUAAUCGGGGAAGAUAAAAUAUUUCUAACUGUAGGUGAUGCUGUUGCAACUUUUGGUCCAAAGGGGUUAGAUUUAUGAAGAACACAACAUAAUAACCAUUCCAACUGAAGUGUGUAUUUAAAUAAAAUAUAAAGAAAAGGGUGUGUGAAACUAUUAAGGGAGCUCUUAGGAACAAUGAAGGGGCACGUUGAUUUGUUUUCUUUAGUUUUGUUUAUUCUCAUUGAUUUCUAGUUCCAGUUGAUGUGAUGUAUAGUCAUAAGGAAAGAAAUACAUGUUUUUUAUGUUGAUUAUACUACUAUGGUCUUGGAUAUAAGCAAAAAAAACUUGUAAAAGAAUAUAGCUGAUAUAUUUGGUCUAAAUAUUGAACUAAAUACAUCAACUUUGUUUAAUCAAUUUUUGCUUAUAUUUAAGACUGGAGAAAGUAAUAUUAUAAUUUAUACCUCUUGUUUAUCUUAUAGUGUGGAAUCUAAUGAUAAUGAUAAUAUUCUUUUGUGAAUUAUAUAUACUCAAUGAUUGGAGGCAAAACCAAUUAAAAAUGAAAGAAUAAUAAGAGAGAAUUGACUUCAUGAAUUGAUUGAGUUAACAAGCAUAUAUUAUAAAUAAACAAUGUUUCAGAGUUAAGGUUUAUUAUAUAGUUGAUGUCAUGGCCUACACAUGCAACUAAAUUAACAGAGUGAUAUACUAUACAUACAAUGACCAACAUGAUGAACUUGGACGAUUUGAAAACUAAAUUCAUACAUUCAUAUAUGAAUCACAUAGAUAAUUACUUCAUUCAAGAAUCAGUCAGAUAAAAUAUUAUAUCUAACAUAAAAGGGUAUGCAAUCCACCACCUCACAAUACCCGCUGUAGAUAAUUGUAAAAAUAGGUUUUUAAAACAGAAUGAUUUACUUACCCAAAUAAAAUCGUAGUCCAAAAAAACAAUAGGAGAAAAAGUGAAAAUAUAGUUUUAGUAGUAAAAAAGAUAGACUGGAGCACAAUUAACAGAUUCAACCCUAACUCAUUCCACCACAAGAAAUUAAAAUAUGUGAUUUGCUGCGACAACAUUUGUAGCUAAUUUAUAGCAGAGAAGUUAGCUAUGGAUAUGCUACAGAAUAUCUAUGAAAUGGUUGUAACAUUUCCGUAGCAACAUAACUACAGCUUAACUUAGCAAUUCGUUGCAAAUCCAUGGCUAAACAGAAAACCAAAAAUUCAUAGCAAAAGCACAACUAAACUGUCCAUAGCAAUUUCAAUGCAAAUCCACAACUAAACUUUCUAUGUAUAUUUUUUUUUGGCUAAAAUAUGGUUUUAGUCCUUGCAAAUAUGCCUCGUUUUGAUUUUAGUCCCUGUAAAAAAAAAAUUUGUUUUUGGUCCUUGCAAAAUUUUUUGUUUUUGAAAAUAGUCCCUUUUGCAGGGACCUUUUUUAAAAACAAAAUAUUUUGCAGGGACCAAAAACUAAAAAAUUGGUUCAGUUAUAAUGUACCACGUAUGCAAAUCAUCACAAAAGUGGGGUUGUGGACUAUUUUCAAAAACAAAAAAUUUUGCAGGGACCAAAAACAAAAAAAAAGUUCUGCAGGGACUAAAACCAAAACGAGGCAUAUUUGCAAGGAAUAAAACCAUAUUUUAGUUUUUUUUUAAUAAAUUAAUAUAUAUAAAGCACUAUCCAUCAAUUAAUAAGCCACUUUAAUUGAACACACCACAGGAAAUAAAAAACAAGUAUUGCAUAAUAAGUAUGAUCAUACAAUAUUAAUCAAAUAUGAAGUUAUACAAAAGAUUCUUCAUAUUAUAACAAGAGUUGAGCUUAUAUACAUGAGAUUAGUCAUAUUAAAACCACAAUCCAAUUUGUCAAGAACAACAAUUAUGUUGGAAAAAUAAAGGACAUAUCAUUGUUUUAGUUUAUCUAAAAGAGUGCCACGCUUGCCACUACAAAAAAUACAGAGAAUAUCAAAGUAUUUUGGUAGCUAAUCCUAUAUAAAUAGAGAUAAUUCAUUAAUAAAAAACGAAAAAAACAAAAUAAAAAACCUUACUGCUCAUUCUCUAUAUUUAUAGUGACACAUUCAGCUCCCUACUUUCACAUGCAUCUCUACCCACUCAAUCACACAUACUGAUAUAUGUGAUAAGUCGAGACAUAAUACUUGGAGGUUGGACUGACGAUAUAUUCUGCUAUUUUCACGCAUCUAGAUUCUAACAACAUUGCACUGAUCUAUUUUUUUCCCUAUUUGAUUAAUCCCGAAUAUGGAAUCUAUUCGAUUAUUUGUUCUUUUAAAAGUUUUUAAAUUUUAAUUUUUAUGAAAAAACUGUGUUAGUUGGUGAGGUAGUGUUGGUCUGUUUCUAUGUUUAUGAAGGAGAGGAUCCAUAUUGGCAGAUGUCUUUGUUGCUUAUUUGAAAGUGAAAGGAUAUGAUGUGGAUAUGGUUUGGAAAUUGGUAAUGAAGCUUGAAUUUAAGGAUAAUAAAACAUCCAUUUCCCCCUUUGUUUUUUUUUCUUCUGCUUUUUAUGAGUCAAGAUCCUUUCCAUUUUAGACUACUCUCCAUAUCUUCUAUUUAGAGAGAUAAAGGCACAUGUGUGUUUGUUUCAAGUUUACCAAAUUUAUUCAUAGAAAACCAAUUUCCGAUUUUCCCACCUGUAAAAUUUUUAUUUUGAUUCACCCCAUGUAAAAUAUUUUUGUUUUGAUUUACCCCCUAAUAGGCCAAACAAAAACCAAUUUUUUUUUUAAGAAAUUUUAGUUUUUGUUUGGCCUGUCAGGGGGAUAAAUCAAAACAAAAAUAUUUUAAAGGGGGUGAAUCAAAAUAAAAAUUUUACAGGGGGGAAAACCGAAAAUGACCUAUAUUUCAGGGGGGUAAAGACCUUUUAAACUUAGAAAAAAAGGGACAAAAUUGUAAUUGUAUUAUAAAUGCAUUCCAUUCCAUUGGAUACACCUCAAAUUGGGGGAAAUAAAAAAUUGGUUGAAUGAUUGGUAUUGGAUGGAAUGAAUUCCAUCACACUGCAUUCCAUUCCAUUUUUUUUUAUACAAAAGCAAACAAUAGAAUGUGGCUUCAUCUCAAUCCAUUCCAUCACUAUCCACCAAUUCAAACAUAGCCCAAAGGUUUGGGCUAGUAAUAAAAAUAUAGGUCUUCAAUAUGAGAGGUCUUGGGUUCGAGCUCUGCUAAUGCAAUUAGAGAGGAGUAAAUGUAAAUACAUUUGUAAGCAUUUUUUUGAGCUUGAAAGUUUUACAUACCUUCGAUUAGGGCAUGGGCAUCAUCCCCUCACCCUAAAAAAAUUAUAGGCAAAAAACAAAUACCCUAUGAGUGUGUUUGGAUAGAGAAAUUGAACUAGGGAAUGCAUUUUUUUGGACUAUUUAAAUUGACUUGGACCAAAUUUCACUGUUUGAGAAAAUAUUUAAGUCAUUCCUAAAAUUCAAGGCAUUUAGAUAAGAAUUUCUCUCUUGCAUAAUUUGAAGGAUUUAAAAUAACACCUAAAUUACAAAAAUUUCAAAAUUCUCUGUCAUUUUCAUCACACGCGUUUCUCACACUACUCUCAUUCUCUUCUCCCGCGAUGCUUCUCUCUCAUUCUCUUCAUUGUGCCUCUCUCUCUCCUCGCCGUUGUGUGCUUCUCUCUCCUCAUUGUCGUUUGCUUCUCUCUCUCCUCGCAUCAUCUUCGCGGUUGCAGACAAAUUAUCACAUCAUCUUCACUGUCGUGUGCUUCUCUCAACCUUGCUAUACGAUUAUCACAUCAACUUCUUCAGAUUCCUAGCUCAUGUAUGUAUAUUUUUUUGCUUAUAACUGAUAUAGCUCAUUGAUUUAUUGACUUAUUUCAUUGUUUUUCUGAUUUAAGCCAUUAGAAUUGAUAGAUUUCACUGUGUAAGCGGUUCGAACUUGUUGAUUUCGGAGUUCUUUUUAUUUUGGAUUUUAAGUUGUUAUAAUUGACUUAUUUUAUUGUUUUUCUUAUUUAAGCCAUUAGGAUUGACUUAUUCUAAUGGCUUAAAUCAGAAAAACAAUAAAAUAAGUCAAUUCUAACAACUUAAAUCCAAAAAACUCCGAAAUCAAAGAGUUCUAACCGCUUACACAGUGAAAUCCAUCAAUUCUAAUAAAAACAAUGAAAUAAGUCAAUAAGCACUACGAUCUAUCAAUUAUAAGAAAAAAAAUACAUACAUGAGCUAGAAAUCUGAAGAAGAUGAUGCGAUAAUUUUAUAACAAGGUUAACAAAAGCAGACGGUGGCGAAGAUGAUGCGAGGAGAGAGAAGCAAACAACGACGAGGAGAGAGAAGCUCACGACUGCGAGGAGAGAGAAGCACACGACCGUCAGGAGAGAGAGACAAGGUGAAGAGAAUGAGAGUCGUGUGAGAAACGUGUGCGAUGAAAAUGACAAAGAAUUUUGAACUUUUUGUAAUUUAGGUAUUAUUUUAAAUCCCUCUAAUUUUGCAAGAGAAAAAUUCUUAUCUAAAUGCCUUAAAUUUUAAAAAUGACUUAAAUACUUUCUCAAACAGUGAAAUUUGGUUCAAGUCAAUUUAAAUACUUCGAAAAAUUACAUUCUCUCAUUAAAAUUCACUAUCUAAAUACACUCUAGGGAAUUAAGGCAUUUGUUAACGUAUUACUACACACAAUAAUUAUGAUUUUUUUUCCUUUCUGAUCGACAAACUAUUAUGAUAUUUAUAGUUAGAAGAAUAUUACUCUCUGUUAGCUCAGUUGGUAGGGAUAUUGCAUAUUAUAUGCAGGGGCUGGGGUUCGAACCCCAGACACUCCACUUCUCCAUAAUUUAAUUGUGAGCUCUAGCCAAUAGACUACUUGACAAAAAAAAAAAAGAAUAUUACUCUCUUGAUAGAUAGAAGAAUGUUACUUGAACUCGUCUUAUGUUACUUGAUUAUUUAGGAAUUACAUCCAUAUCUGGGAUUAUAGUCCAUUUUAAUACUAUAAAGUUAAGAGGAUGACAUUUGUGCCACCUACGAUAUGCUAUAAUCAAUUGUUCGUCUGUGACAACUUUGCUACUAAAACAAGUGCGAUUUUCUUGAAUAACGUAUUUUUUAAAAAUUUAGUUAUGAAGGAAAUUUUUUAUAAAUUAUGGAAAUUAUUGUCCUUUAUAAAUGUGAAAAUCAAAGCUGCGUAAACUAAAAUUUUGCAACACAGAGUCUAAAGCCAUAAAAAAUAACAUAACAACUUUUUUUUUUUUUUUGAAAACUCGGUAUCCGAUCAAGAAUCGACUAAUCCGAGGGGACCAAUCCAUACAUAACAACUAUUGCAAUCUCUUAUUCCUUAAAGUUAACCCGAAUGCAAAAUUUUGCCCUAGAUUUAACUUAACUUUUUUGCUUAAUUUUACUGUAUUAACCCUAUUUAAUCUCUUAUUCCUUAAAGUUAACCCGAACGCAAAAUUUUGCCCUAGAUUUAACAUAACUUCUUUGCUUAAUUUUACUGUAUUAACCCUAUUUAAUUAACCCUAUCUCUUAUUCCUAAACAAAGCUUUGUUGCCCUAAUUUUAACCUAAUAUUUUAACCUAAUAUUUUAGCAACUUUUCCCUCCUUCAAAACCUAACCAUAUUUCCUAAUUCCCCUCCUCCAAACCCUAACAAUGAUUUUCUAACUUCACUCCUCCUAAAACCUAUCUAAUUGAUUUCCAUAAACCAUAUCUCCUAACUCCCCUCCAAACUCUCACCAAUAUAUUUUAAUCCUUUCUCCUAAACCGAAAUCUCUUUCUAAAACCAUACCUUUCUCUUAAGCCGAAAUUUCUUAAUCAACAUGGCUUCCAGAAACAUUCAGACUUUGCUGUCAUACCACUGCCUCAUGGUAACCAUAUCUUCAUUCCACUCUGGUUUAUACUAAAUAUAUAGACUUUUGCUCUUAUUCCUCGCUGUUGUAAAGUAUAAAUCAUUCUUUCCAUCCCUUUUAAUCUUUUGUAGGUCCGUUGGUGAAAAACCCUCUUUCCGAUCUUGACAAAGCAAUCAACAAGCUGAGACUGAAAUACAGAUCAUAUAUCGUUGAAUAUGACAUUGAUGUUGUAUGUGUUUUUUGCAAAAUAUACCUAUUCUUAAUUAUUUGCAUUCUAUUUUAUCAACUUUUGUGAUGUUUUUGUUUGUUAUUUUUUUAGGGUGCAGUAUGCUUGCCAAACAUGUUUGGCGGUGAUUUUGGAGAUCAAAUUGGGCGCUAUGCAAUAUUGACUGAUCCACUUUUAUUCUUUAACUUCUUUUAUUCCUUUUCCUCUUAGUUGAUAUAAGUUACAUGGAUUUCUAAUUUUGCAGAUUCUACUUUACACCGGCAAUGUUCCGCAGAUGCUUGAUACACUCAAGACAACCGUGAAUAUUAUCGACGAUUGCGCUAACUUAUGGGUGUGUGAGCUAACUUUUGCAACUUUUCCUUAUGAACACUUCAAGAUAGGACGGCGUUGGAAUAGGUUUGUGGAAGCUCGCAGGCUCCGUGAAGGUGUGAGAUCAGAGGGGGUGCUCCGAUGGUUGGUCACAUGAUACCAUCUACCUUGAUGUUAUUUACAAUUAGUCCAUGUUUAGAUAAAUUGUGCAACACCUUCCCACUUUGAAUUUUAAGUUUUAGUUUCUUAGAGUUUUGGAAGCAUCUAUUUUUUUGUCUUUGAAUUUAGCAAAUGUCCCUUGAAUUUUAGAAAUAAUUUAGUCUUGCUUGCUUUAGUUUUUGAUUUAUAUAUUUGUGUUUGUGCUGCUCAAACUAUAUUUAGUAGCAUUGCUGUGUUAUUGAAGCAUUUUAGUAUCAUAGCUUUUAGUAACAUUAUUAGUAACAAUUACUACCUUUUGGUGACACUUUUAGUAACAUUAUUACUUACAAUUACUAAUCCUAAUCUCUAAAAUAUGUUUUGGGUGGAAUCAAACUAAAAUCCUAAUCCUAAUUUCUCUCAUUCAAAUAAUUACGGGAUUUCAUCCACAUCUCUAAGAUAUGUUUUGUGAUAAAAUUUUAGCAAGUGUACUAAAACUAUCGAAGUAAUAAAAUAAAUUCGUAUCCACGAGGACUGUGUUAAUCUCAACUUAGCAAUAAAGUUAAUAUCUAGGAUGUGUAAAUUUUAUAAGUGUCUGAGGCAGUAGAUUAGGGUGCAAUAAAAAGUAAAUAAUAGGAAAUAAAAUGGUUUGAUGAUUGAAUUAAAACAGAUGAUCAAACCAGUGAAUCCUCUAUUGCUUUAUGUGAAAUAGCUUAUCUCUCUUUACUCUCAACACUUAUUCAAUCUUUACGACAAAUUAACUAAUUAGUUUUGAUCAAUCUCUUGACUCAAAACCCUUUCCUAAGUUAAAACCUUUUAAUCUCUUAAACCGAUUGAAUAACCGCGGAAGCGAUGUCAGAAUGUUAAUUCAUAUGUCAUAACCCUCAAUUUUCUAUCUCUAGGUUCCUAUGUUGAAUUAAACAGAAUUACUAUUUCAGGAUUAAAAGCUAGGGUUAGUAGUCAUUCAAUUCCUAAGAUCAAUUUAUGUGAUUGCAAGAAGCUAGGGUUAAUAGUCAUGCAAGCAAUCAUAUGAAAAGCAAUGAACACAAAUAAUUCUGAAUAAAGACUGAAUAAUAUUGAUAAUAAAGAGAGUUUCAACUACAUUCAUAUAUUACAAUAGGUUCAUCAUGGCUCAAUCAAAGAGAAUUAGCUAGACAUGAUUAAAUAAAUAAACAACAUAGUAAGAAAAUAAAUCGAUAGAGUUUCGUCGAUGUCGGCGUUGCUCCUCAAUCUUCUUUCAAUCUGUGUUGUUUUCUCUCUCCCCUGUAGCGUCCCUUUUCCAAAACGUAAAUCCUAUAUUUAUUUCUUCCAAAAGUGUGAUCACCUUUCCUUGUUCCUGUACGUUUUCUCCUAUAAGCCCAUCAAUUAAUAUGUUGCUUUUUGUCACCUCUUGUUUUUCUCUUCUUUGAUUAUAUAAAUAUAACCAAUAAUAAUGAUAAUAACCUAUUAAUUCCAAUCAUUUGCUUGCUUGACUCAAUAGACCAAAAAUACCAUACUUUAUUUAAAUUGACUCUAAAUUAAAUACUAAACUAAUAAAACUAGACUAAAAACUUAUUAAAAAAAAACUUUAAAAAUAGUGAAUGACUGACUGUCAUCACAACCCCAAACUUGAACCAUUCCUUGUCCUCAAGGAUUUACUUGUAACAUUGACAAUUGACAGUAAAAUAACAAUUACCUGAUCAAGCGAUAGUACCCAAAAGUUCAACACCUUACUAGCUAAAGAUGAGCUAGUUUGACUUGUUAGCAACCACCAAUUCACAACUCCACGCAACAAUAUGAAAGGGUUCACACACAGUCGACAUGCAAUCUACAUAUUACCAUACGCUUGAAAAGUUUCUAAACGUCAAUCAAAAUCAAUGUCAAUGCACACUUUGAGGUCUUUAACGGUUAUAACGGGGCUUAGGUGAAGGUGAGAUAAUAUUUGGAUAAGUAGGCUACACAAAAUUUGAGUUAGGCAUUCCUACGGAAGUUAAGCACAAAAUUCAAUCCAUCAUUCAUUCACCUUUUGGAACAACAAUUCUUGCAAGGGUACUAGAAAUUAUUUAUAACAAUCGGGACAAUCGAGUUUGAAGUUACUCGGUUUUUCAAUGUCAUGUCCCUUUUUCAUUCUAUUAUAUUCUCUUUUUUUUUUUUUUGAACACACCAUUUUGGCAUAUUGUUUUCAUGAGAAUGUUUUUUUUUUCUUUGUUCUCUAGUACCCCACCCCAAACUUAAUUGGUUGCAAAUUCCAUUAGCAACCCCAAACUUAAUAUUUAGCAACAUUCUUCAAUGCCUAACUCAGAAAAACAAUAAGGGAUAAAUCCUAAAAGUCUCCAAGCUUGUAAUGUAGUUUGUCACCGAACAAAAAGUUCUAAACCUACCGGCUCAAUUUGGCUAAAGAAAGGAUAAUUAUUCAAAUAUAAACAGGGUAGGCUUCAAAAAGGCUCACAGGACCAAGCACUUUUGCCUCAGUGUGCUAAUGACAAAGAUCAAUCGACAGUAGAGAAAAAUUGCAAGUUCUAGAAAUGUAAAUGCAUGGAACACUCUUUAGAAGUAAAUUAGAAAAUAAAAUUUGGCCAUGAACCUUACAGUUUAGAUUUCUGGGAGUUGUGACUACCUAUCCUUAACUGCAGUACACUUCGCCUUUGAAAUCACAAGUCACUCCUCCUUUUGAACUUUUGGAAUACCACUUGAACACAUAUUUGUUACUAAACUGGAAAAAGUCAAUAAAACAAGAAAAUUCAUCAAUAAUAAACAAGUGCAAGAACAAUUACAUAACAGGGGGAUACAACUGAGUUAUUCAAACACACUGACAAUUGCCUGACUCAACAAUAGGAAUAAAAUACUGAAAAUAAAAACAUAAUAAAAAUGAUGGGUUGCCUCCCAUCAAGCGCUUUAUUUUACGUCAUUGAGCUUGACGCUCCAACCACUGUUAGGGUGGCAAAUAUGAUAGAAAGAAUAUAUCAUCCUUCUUCUUCCUCUUGUUUGGUAGGAAUUCCAUGAAUUUGGCACAAAGCAGUAGAUGCUCCCAUGCUCCAGCCACUAAAUCUUUGUCAUUUGAGCUCUCCCACCUUAAAGAAGGACAUGCAUCUAUUUGCACAAGAGUGAUUUCCUUAACCCCCGUUGAUCCAGACUUCGAGAAAAUAUCAACACUCCUCACUUUGGAAUUUUCUUCUACCACAACCUUGUGACACACAGUCUCCAUCUGAACCAACUUCCUCUGAGACUCAUGUGCUUUCUCAACAAGAUUACCACACUGAACAUCAAACUUCUCAAAUAAAACUUGAUUUGACACCAAGAAAUCAUCUAAAAUAUUUUGAAGUUGAGUAUUGUAACCGAUGUUGAUCAUCUCUUUCUUCUCUUCACAAUUACUACCUGGUUGAUCCCCCUCAUAACGACCACAUCUCUCAUUUAAUCUUGAGAUUUUAUUGUCAAAAUAUCCUAUCUUCAAAGAUAGCAUAUAUUUUUCAUACUUCAACAUACCAAUCUCUUUUGUGUCAUGGAGGUAUAACCUGUCUAUCAUAGCUGCAACACUUGAAUAAACUUUUUAGUAGCACAGUACAAUGAGAAGAAAAAGAAGAGCAUAAAUCAUUUUUUUUUUAUAAACAAAAAUAUAAAUGACAGAAAUCCUAAAUAAAAACAAAAUUACCAAAUUGAAAUGACUCAACAGUCCCCGGCAGCAGCGCCAAAAACUUGAUAAAAUUUUAGCAAGUGUACUAAAACUAUCGAAGUAAUAAAAUAAAUUCGUAUCCACGAGGACUGUGUUAAUCUCAACUUAGCAAUAAAGUUAAUAUCUAGGAUGUGUAAAUUUUAUAAGUGUCUGAGGCAGUAGAUUAGGGUGCAAUAAAAAGUAAAUAAUAGGAAAUAAAAUGGUUUGAUGAUUGGAUUAAAACAGAUGAUCAAGCCAGUGAAUCCUCUAUUGCUUUAUGUGAAAUAGCUUAUCUCUCUUUACUCUCAACACUUAUUCAAUCUUUACGACAAAUUAACUAAUUAGUUUUGAUCAAUCUCUUGACUCAAAACCCUUUCCUAAGUUAAAACAUUUUAAUCUCUUAAACCGAUUGAAUAACCGCGGAAGCGAUGUCAGAAUGUUAAUUCAUAUGUCAUAACCCUCAAUUUCCUAUCUCUAGGUUCCUAUGUUGAAUUAAACAGAAUUACUAUUUCAGGAUUAAAAGCUAGGGUUAGUAGUCAUUCAAUUCCUAAGAUCAAUUUAUGUGAUUGCAAGAAGCUAGGGUUAAUAGUCAUGCAAGCAAUCAUAUGAAAAACAAUGAACACAAAUAAUUCUGAAUAAAGACUGAAUAAUAUUGAUAAUAAAGAGAGUUUCAACUACAUUCAUAUAUUACAAUAGGUUCAUCAUGGCUCAAUCAAAGAGAAUUAGCUAGACAUGAUUAAAUAAAUAAACAACAUAGUAAGAAAAUAAACCGAUAGAGUUUCGUCGAUGUCGGCGUUGCUCCUCAAUCUUCUUUCAAUCUGUGUUGUUUUCUCUCCCCUGUAGCGUCCCUUUUCCAAAACGUAAAUCCUAUAUUUAUUUCUUCCAAAAGUGUGAUCACCUUUCCUUGUUCCUGUACGUUUUCUCCUAUAAGCCCAUCAAUUAAUAUGUUGCUUUUUGUCACCUCUUGUUUUUCUCUUCUUUGAUUAUAUAAAUAUAACCAAUAAUAAUGAUAAUAACCUAUUAAUUCCAAUCAUUUGCUUGCUUGACUCAAUAGACCAAAAAUACCAUACUUUAUUUAAAUUGACUCUAAAUUAAAUACUAAACUAAUAAAACUAGACUAAAAACUUAUUAAAAAAAAACUUUAAAAAUAGUGAAUGACUGACUGUCAUCAUUUUGGGUGGAAACAAACUAAAAAUCCUAAUUCCUCCCAUUCAAGUAACUACUAAAGAUUUCAUCCACGUCUCUAAAAUAUUUUUUAAGUGGAAACAAAUCCUAAUCCUAAUUUUUCUCAUUCAAGUAACCAAGAGAUUUCAUCCACAUCUCUAAAGUAACUUUUUGGUGGAAACAAACUAAAAUCCUUAUUUCUCUCACUCCAAUAAGUAGGGGAUUUCAUCCACAUCUCUAAAAUAUGUUUUGGGUGGAAACAAACUAAAUUCCUAAUCCUAAUUUCUUUCAUUCAAGUAACUAAGAGAUUUCAUCCACAUCUCUAAAGUAACUUUUUGGUGCAAACAAACUAAAAUCCUUAUUUCUCUCAUUCAAAUAAUUAGGGGAUUUCAUCCACAUCUCUAAAAUAUGUUUUGGGUGGAAAUAAACUAAAAAUCCUAAUUCCUCUCAUUCAAGUAACUACUAAAGAUUUCAUCCACAUCUCUAAAAUAUGUUUUGGGUGGAAACAAAUUAAAAUCCUAAUCCUAAUUUCUCUCAUGUAACUAAGAGAUUUCAUCCACAUCUCUAAACUAACUUUUUGGUGGAAACAAACUAAAAUCCUUAUUUCUCUCAUUCAAAUAAGUAGGGGAUUUCAUCCACAUCUCUAAAAUAUAUUUUGGGUGGAAACAAACUAAAAAUCUUAAUUCUUCUCAUUCAAGUAUCUAAGAGAUUUCAUCCACAUCUCUAAAGUAACUUUUUGGUGGAAACAAACUAAAAUCCUUAUUUCUCUCAUUCAAAUAAGUAGGGGAUUUCAUCCACAUCUCUAAAAUAUGUUUUGGGUGGAAACAAACUAAAAAUCAUAAUUCCUCUCAUUCAAGUAACUACUACACAUUUAAUCCACAUCUCUAAAAUAUGUUUUGGCGAGUCAACUAUGGUAAUUCUUAAGUCAAAAAAAAAUGCCCCAUCGAAAAUAUUAAUUUCAUUUUAUACAUAUUAAUCUUUAUCCAAAAAUGUUGAGCAUAAUUUUAUUCCACUUCAACAAGAUCCCUUUGUUCUGCGCCCCUUCCCUAUUUACAUGUCAAUUCUUAAGUAAAACAAAGUGCCCCAUCAACAAUAUUAAUUUCAUUUUAUUCAUAUUAAUCUUUAUCCUAAAAUGUUGGCCACUUCCUAAUUUUGUUCCACUUUUUUGUGCUUAUCCUGAUAACUAAUACUCUUUAUUGCUAAACCGACAUAUCCUACUAACACGUAUUGCACCUUUUUCCUUCAAGUUGCUCUCUCAGCUAUAUUUGCUUAUCUAUGGAAACUUUUUCCAGUCCACCUAAAUAAAUUUAUUCAUUGGCAUAAGUAUUAUUUCAAAAAUUUAUUAUCAUUGUCUUUUAUCAGCGCUUCGACCUCUAAAAGUACAAAAUUUAUUUUUCGAUCUACCUCCGGAAGAUGUUAAUAUUUUUCUGAAUGUUAAAAAAGCAAUAGAUAUAGAGAUUUAGAUUCAUAUUGUGCUUUUAUGAAUGUUACUUCAAAAUUAACUCGUGGUAAUUGUGGAGUGGAAGCCUAACAUGCACCCCUCCAAAGUCACUCUAUCCAUGACGAGGUUUACCUUAAUUUUGUAGAGACUAUUGAUGUUUCUGCUAAAUAUUUUUUCUUUCUUUCUUUUCUUCGGUGACUUGACAUCUUUUCCUUUUUAACUAGGCAGAAUGCUUGACAUGUCUUUUAUUAUGAAAUCUGUUAUACAAAUUGUCUUUGAUCUAUAGUCUAAGUCGUGCUUGAGUUGUCAAAGAUGAAAAUGUAAAUUUGAUCAAUAUUCAAUGUUUAUAGUUUCUUAUGUUAGGACAUCUGUAAUAUGGGAGGAUGGUUGUUGUGCAAAUAAUUCAUUCCUUUAGCCUGACAAGAGCGAAGUAAAUUUACAUUGAAUAGAGGAAAGUGGUAAAUAAUAUCUAAAAUUAAAAUGACAGAUUUUGGAGAUCACCUAAAUAGUAAAAAAUAUAUAAUAAUACAAAUACACAAACUGAUGUUUUUCAUUUUACAGAUACUUUACAAUAAUCAUAUACAAACUGAUCUAAAGCAAAUGGUGAACAAAAAUACUAAAUAGGUGGAAGUUUUAUAGGUGGAAGUUGUAUCGCUAUUUUGUCCUUAUAUUAUAUAUAAAACACGAUGCAAACACUUGAAUAUAUUUCAAUUGGUUCCAUUCAGCACAUUGAUGAAAUAGGAUGUUAAUCCAUGUCGUGUUUUUAGCGUAUCCAACGUAAAUAUAAUGUUUGUAAGAGGUCUUUUAUACGCAAUAUUUUAUAGUUAGCUUAUAUCGAUCUUCCACGAAGUUAAAUGACAUUUUGUACAAUCCUUUCUUUUUUUGGAUUAAUUUACCAUGAAGUUAGCUUAUAUCGAUUUUCCAUGUCAUGUUUACAGUUAUAUAUACUAUUGAAUUUCAAAAAUGUGGACUACCGCAUGCACACAUACUGGUGUUUUUGAAGCCAACUUAUCAGUGCAAGAAACCUGAGGAUCUUGAUAAGAUUAUAUCAGCAGAGAUUCCAAACAAAGAUACAGAUGGGGAGUUAUUUAAUAUUGUGACUACGCUCAUGAUUCACGGCCCAUGUGGUGACCAAAACACAAGAUCGCCUUGCAUGCUAAAUAAUAAAUGUAGCAAGCACUUUCCAAUGAAAUUUGUUGAUCAAACUGUGAUCGAUAAAGAUGGUUAUCCAGUUUACAAGAGAAGAGACAAUGGAGUUUAUGUAAAAAAAGGAGAGUGCUUUGCAGAUAAUAGGUUUGUUGUGCCGUAUAAUAAAACACUCCUCUUGAAGUACAAAGCCCAUAUCAAUGUAGAGUGGUGCAACCAAAUUCGGUCAAUCAAGUACCUUUUCAAAUAUGUAAACAAAGGACAUGAUCGCGUCACCGCAAACUUUUACGGUAAUGGAUGUGAAAAUAGUUUGGAUGAGAUAAAGAUGUAUUAUGAUUGUCGGUAUUUGUCCGCGUGUGAAGCGGCCUGGAGAAUAUUCUCUUUUGACAUAAAUUACAGAGAACCUUCGGUGGAACGCUUAAAUUAUCAUUUGGAAAAUGAGCAUUCAGUUUUGUACGAAGAAAACGACGACAUUGAACAAGUCAUUGAGAGAUCGCAUAGAAAAACUACAAAGUUUUUGGCUUGGAUGAAAGCAAAUGAAAAGUAUCCAGAAGCUAGAAAUUUGACUUACAAUCAAUUCCCGACCCAGUUUGUGUGGAAGGAAAAAGACCACGAAUGGACUCCUAGACGGUGUGGUUUUUCGAUAGGGCGGGUCCAUUUUGCUCCGCCUGGUUCCGGCGAAAGGUUUUACCUAAGAACUCUCUUGAAUUACAUCAAAGGUCCUACAUCUUUCAAUGACAUCAAGACGGUCGAUGAUGUCAAAUAUAAUACUUUCAAGGAAGCCUGCUUCGCUAUGGGGUUACUCGAUGAUGACAAGGAGUUUAUAGACGCGAUAAUUGAAGCCAGUCUUUGGGGCACUGGUAUUUAUUUACGUAGACUAUUCGUAGCACUGAUGGUGACAGAUCAAUUUGCCAGACCAGAGGUCGUGUGGAAUUCUACAAACGAAAAUUUAAUUGAUGACAUACUCCACAAACAAAGGCGGCUUCUUGGAGCUCCAGGAUAAUUUUAGUGCAUAUUUAUUUUUUGUAAUUACAUAUGAAUUAUAUUGGUUCCUUCUUUUUUUUCAAAUAAUUAUCCAUUUCUCACCUUACAUGUGUAUGUAUUUAAACCAAUAUAAAUACGGUUGUUUCUUCAGAUUACAUGCAAUGACAUUUGUGUAUCUAAUUUUGGUUCCAUGUUUGUGCCAAAUAUUUGUUAUACUCAUAGUUUGCUUAUAUUAUGAAGGAAAAACUAUUUACAUCACAGAAAUUUAUUUGUUCAAGUUUAAAAAAAAAUAAAAUAACAUGCAUCGACACGUCUGUUUAUUAUGAGAAAUGACAUGAACAUUGUUGUUUUUACAUGGAUAUUUUCAAUUUACAAGUCACGCUGAUUUUUAACAAACCUUAUUUGUUUCCCAGAUUUACGGUUGACUCAUGAGCAGUUGAAGGCGUAUGCGUUGGCCGAACUAGAAACGAUGUUGCAAAGUUUUGGAAAGAGUUUGUCUGAUUUUCCUCCAAUGCCAAAGGCGGAUGCAUCUUUAGUACCGGAUGUCGAGAGUAGGUUGAUUCACGAUGAGAUGAGUUAUAAUAGGCCUGUACUAGCUGCUCAACAUGACCGGAUGAUGUCAACCAUGACUUCAGAGCAACGUAAUGUAUAUGAUAAAAUAAUGACAAGAGUUAAGGAAGACAAAUCUGGGUUGUUCUUCCUGUAUGGUUAUGGUGGUACUGGGAAAACAUUUAUUUGGAGGGCUUUAUGUGCUGCUUUGAGGUCUGAUGGUGGGAUUGUUUUGGCAUGUGCAUCAAGUGGGAUUGUUGCCUUGCUUAUACCCGGUGGAAGAACUGCACAUUCAAGAUUCGGUAUCCCUUUUACAAUAGACGAAUGCUCUAUGUGUGGAGUUACACCAAAUACACCGUUGGCAUCGCUGCUGAUCAAGGCUAAACUUAUCAUAUGGGAUGAAGUGCCAAUGAUGCACAAGCAUUGUUUCGAAGCACUUACCCAAUUGGGGAAAUCAAUGAUGUCGACAUAUCUGUUGUUAUCCCGUCCGACUUGCUUAUUCCAAGUUCAGGUAAUCCUGUUGCAUCUAUCGUUGAUAGCACUUACCCAAAUUUGUUAGGAAACAUCGGUAAAGUAAAAUAUUUUCAAAGUAGAGCAAUAUUGGCGCCAAAGAAUACCAUUGUUGAACAGGUUAAUGAUUAUGUGUUCAACUUGAUUCCUGGUGAAGAAAAAAUCUAUUUGAGUUACGAUACACCUUAUCAUAAAAACAUAGAUGGUGACGCCGUAGAUGACAUCCAUACUCCUGAAUUCCUCAACACCAUUGUGGCGUCCGGAUUUCCAAAUCAUCGGUUGCGACUGAAAGUAGGAGCACCUGUCAUGUUACUCAGGAACAUGGAUCAAAGUUUGGGCUUAUGUAACGGUACGAGAUUGAUCAUUACAAAGAUGGGAAAAUUUGUGCUUGAAGGACGGGUAAUAUCUGGUUCUAAUAUCAUUGAGAAGGUGUUUAUUCCAAGGUUAUCGCUAACACCAUCUGAUAAUAGAAUUCCUUUCAAAUUUAAACGAAGGCAGUUUCCGAUAUUUGUCUCAUUUGCAAUGACUAUUAACAAGAGUUAGGGUCAGUCGCUAGAACAUGUUGGUGUCUACCUACCGUCUCCUAUUUUUUCACAUGGACAGUUGUACGUCGCAAUAUCACGGGUUACUUCGAGGGGUGGUUUAAAAAUAUUGAUUGCUGACGACGACGGCGAUGAUAUCGAUGUUGCAUCAAAUGUGGUCUACAGAGAAGUUUUCCGUAAUGUGUAGGACUUUUUUGUGUACUGUUCAUUUUCUUACUUAUUGAAACUAUUUGCAUGUCAACGAACUUCAAUUUCCCUUUCAAAAUUAUAUGUUAUUUUAAAGUAACAGGAACUACGUACUAGAAUUAUGGAACAAUAACAAAGUCUUUGGUAUUGACAUUUUGCUUUGAUUCACGACAAUUUUUAGAUUCACGCGAACUACAGUGUCUUAUUUUUUUAGUGAAUAUUAUAUUUUUUAAAUGACACGUGCGUUAGCACGGGUCAAUGGUCUAGUUUAAUUUAAUCAAAAUGUUAACGUUAAUUGUUAAGGGAAAUCAAAAUAAACAAAUCGCUCCUAAUUUUUCUCCUUAAUUUUACUAAACAAAUUAUAUUAACCCUAGAUUUAAUUUAUGCAAAAUGUCGUCACUUAUCUCUUAUUUAUAAACGUUAAGUUGUGACGCAAUAUUAACCCUAGAUUUAACCUAAUUUUUUCGUGUGACUUUACUGUAUUAACCCUAGAUUUAAUUUAUGCAAAAUGUCAUCUCUUAUCUCUUAUUUCUAAAUGUUAACCCGUGACGCAAUAUUAACCCUAGAUUUAACCUAUUUUUUCGCGUGACUUUACUAUAUUAACCCUAGAUUUAAUUUAUGCAAAAUGUCAUCUCUAAUUUUAACCUAAUUUUUUCCUCCACACUUUUGCAUUUAAUGUUUAUCUAAAGUAAAAUAAAAUUAUGUUUCCAAUUAUAUGUUGUUUUUUUGGUAAGGAAUAACCGUUAACCCGUUUCGCUAUACUUAAUCUAAUCUCUUACUUAUAAAUGUUAACCUGUUUUGCUAUACUUAACCUAUUUUAUUUCUUAAAGUUAACCCGAACGCAAAAUUUUGCCCUAGAUUUAACCUAACUUAUUUGCUUAAUUUUACUGUAUUAACCCUAUUUAAUUAACCAUGUUUAAUUUAAUCAAAAUGUUAACGUUAAUUGUUAGGGAAAUCAAAAUAAACAAAUCGGUCCUAAUUUUUCUCUUUAAUUUUACUAAACAAAUUAUAUUAACCCUAGAUUUAAUUUAUGCAAAAUGACAUCUCUUAUUUCCAAAUGUUAACCCGUGACGAAAUAUUAACCCUAGAUUUAACCUAAUUUUUUUGUGUGACUUUACUAUAUUAACCCUAGAUUUAAUUUCCAAAUGUUAACCCGUGACGAAAUAUUAACCCUAGAUUUAACCUAAUUUUUUUGUGUGACUUUACUAUAUUAACCCUAGAUUUAAUUUAUGCAAAAUGUCAUCUCUUAUCUCUUAUUUCUAAAUGUUAACCUGUGACGCAAUAUUAACCCUAGAUUUAACCUAUUUUUUCGUGUGACUUUACUAUAUUAACCCUAGAUUUAAUUUAUGCAAAAUGUCAGCUCUAAUUUUAACCUAAAUUUUCUCGCCACACUUUUACAUUUAAUGUUUAUCUAAGGUAAAAUAAUAACCUUAGAUAAUCACGGCAUAAAAAAAUUCUUCGAAAGAAAAGAUGUUAAAACGACGGAACAUUGUGAUUCAUCAUGAAAUAUGUAUGGGUUGAUUUAGAGAUCAUAUAAUCAGUUUAUGAGAUUAAGAAUUGACAUAAUAUUUAGGAUGAAAACAAUUGGAACCAAAAAAGAACCAAUGAUGUGUGAAUUACGAUUACAUGUUAUCCAAAAUUAUAAAAAAGAGUGUUGUUGUUGUAGAGUUACCAAAAAAGGAUUGAUACCGAUAUUUACAUCAGAUGAAAUCAAGCAAAGAAAUAGCAUCGGUGAGUGAAGAUAAUUUUGUUUAGGAUUAAAGUUAAGGUGAUCUGUUGAAAGUCCGGAUCAUGAACACCAAAUCUUUAUUUGGGAACGACUUGAACGUGCAUAUUUUUAGGUGGCUUCUCUAGAUAAAAAAUUAGCUUAUCACCUACCUUUAACAUAUGUUCUCGACAAAAGUUGAACCAUUGACCGCCUAAGUAUUUUUCAUAACUUGCUCUCUUUGCCGUUAUCAAGCGACACUUAUACCUUUUUUGAGUUUGUUUGUAGAUGAGUGUGAUAUUUUUCCCCGUUCCUUUUAGAAAUGUCCUUGAUAUCUCAUUUGGGAAGUAAUAGGUACAAAACAAAUUGUAGUGUUAAUUAGAUGUUAAAUAUAUAUAAGUACAUUUCUAAAACAUUUACCAAAACAUUAUAAAGAUUUGCUGUAGGGAAAAGAACAUGUUCUAUUUUGUUCAAGAGAUUAGGAAAACAACAUUAUAAUUAACUUGAUACUAAUUGGAAUCAAUGAAGGAACCAACAAUGUGCAUAUUAACAUUAAAUAACAGUUAGGUUUAUAAAAAAGACUGUAAGAGUCAUAGACUAAUCAAAAAGGGAUUUUUGCCAAUAUUUACAUCAGACAAAAUGAAAAGAACAAAUAACAUCCCAAAGUCAAGAUAGUUUACGAUUACAGUCCAAAGCGAUGCAUCAAAAUAGUAUAAGUUCAAAUAGUUCAGCAGCAAAGAUCUACUUUGGAACAACUCAAACAUGCAAGUUCUUCUGUGACUUUUCGAGAUCAAAGAUGAGCUUACCACCUUCUUCCAUCACACGUUCUUUGCAGAAAUUGAACCACUGUCCACCCAAGUAUUUUUCAUAGCUUUCUCUUUCGGCGGUAAUGAGGCGACACUUAUAUUUUCUCUGUGUCUGGUCAUCAAUGAGAGUGAAUGUUUUGCGCUUUCCUUUUAGAAUUGUUCUUGACAUCUCGUUUGGGAAAUGCUAAACAGAUAAAUAAAAACAAUAUUAGUCUAAUGCAUAUUAACAUGGAUAAGACGUAUGUGAAUAUAGUUACAUAUAAUUUAUAAAAUAAAGGUAGCAUAACUGAUUUUAAGCUAAAGAAAAUGUAUCAUGACUUCUAAUUUAUCUUCCUAUUAUCUUCCUAAAAAGGCUAGAUAAAUGCAUUCAUGUGCAUUAUAUGAACCCCGUUGACCAAUUAACAUUGUUGAAACAAAUGAAAAUUAAGCAUCGCUCCCGCAUGUGCAUCUAUAGCUAGCACCAUUUGACAUUGAUGUCUUUGAACAUUUGGUGCAAUUCUCAUAAUAUCAUCCAAAUGAAAGAAUAAUUUUUGGAUCAAUACAUGAAUGAAUGUAAUGUUAAUUAUAUGAAACAAUACAUUAACAAAAUAAUCAUAUGGAAAGGAAACUAGUUAGUAUGAUCAUCUUUGGUUAUAUUGUUUUUGGCCCUCAUUCUACUACCCCAUGAUGAUGAUGAUCCUGCAGCCAUACGUGUAUGAGACCUUCUAUUCAACUCAACCAUUUGUUCCAUCAACCUACUUCUUCUCAAACCCAAACUCAACUCAAAGUCAUAUUCUUCUUUAAGCUUUGGAUUUGACAAAGUCUCAUAAGCUGCAUUGAGUUGUACAAACAUCUUCGUUGAUUCCUCUUUCUUCAAACGAUCAUGACAAACAUCAGGAUGAUACUGGAGAGCCAUUGUUCUAUAUGCUCUCUUUAUGUCAUCCAUUGUUGCACUUUUAGGACUCAAACAUAGUAUCUUGUACAAGUUGCCAUCAUCAUUCAACUCAUUAUGAAUUGGAACAUUUUUUGUAGCUCUGCAUGAAACAGAAAACUGCAUACGAGGUUGUCUACUUGAGAGUGGAAGGAUAUGAUGUUGAUAUGGUUUGGAAAUGCUAAUUAGGCCUGAGUUUAAGGAUAAUAAAACAUCCAUAAUUUUGUUUUUCUGUCUGUUUUUGAGAUGCAUGUGAGAGUGCAUUACACACAAUUAUAUGAAUAUUUAUAGCUAGAAGAAUGUUGUUUGAAUUCGUCUUAUUGUUAAUUGAUUUGUAUUAGACCAUAAGAAUACUUUAUUAUUUUUGUCAACCGAAAGAAAAAUUAUGAAUUAAUUAUUCAAUCUCUACGCGUUUUCUACAUGGUGAUCAUCGGUUAUUUUUUCUUAAUUAUUCAAUGUUAUUUUUUUAUAUUCUAAAUCAAUUUGAUAAUAUUAAUUAAUAAAAAAAUAUUUUAGAAAAAGUAACGAAUGUGUCAAAAUUUUGUAAUAUUUAAGGAAUAAUAAAUGUUUAAAAAUUAUCUUAUGAUUAGAGUAAGCAAUAUUAAUUAAGCGGUUUUGAUGAAUAUGGUUUUGCACACAUUAUUGAUAUUAACGACACAUUUAGGUAGAAAAAAAGAUUAUACAUGAUCAGGAAAUGGUCUUCAUUGUACCCAAAAAAAAAAAAAAAAAAAAAAGGAAAUGGUCUUCAUCGGCAUCAAAUCUCUAAUUAAUGCGUUCAAGAUGAUGUAGAAAGAAAGGCAAAUUGUAUUGUUCUUCUAAGAGCAAUGCUAUUUACAUUAUUUAUCACAAAAUCUAUUGAUACAAAACAUGCAUAAGUCGUUGUUUUUUCUGGAAGAUGCUUGAUAGAUUAAUUUCAAGAGAGGGCUAAUGUAUAUGAGAAAUUUUAUGGUUCUGUGAAGAAAAAGAAAAAUGGGAUAUUGGUCGUGUUUCUAUUUUUGUUAAACGAUGUGUUUUUAGUAUAUGUGGCCAACCAGCGUAGAUAGAUUAAAAAUAACGUUAACAACCUCUUUUAUGUCUCUUGAAACCACUACUGUACAUGUUUUAUUUUUCUUGAAACCACUACUGUACAUGUUUUAUUUUAAUUAAAUUCAAAGAAAUUAUGUUUUUUUGUUUACACUUCAUAGAAAUUAUUAUGAAAUAAUAAUAAUUGAAAAAUAAGUUGAUCAUGUAUUAAAAUUUGGGUAAAUAAAUAGUCAUUUUGAUAUCUGGAUGUGUAACGAAUAGUUACGAUAGUCCUUCAAUGUAUCGAAAUUUUAAAAUAGUCUUUGAUUGUGGACUAUAUAUCAAAAUAAUCUCCUAUGUUAAAAUGGUCUGUUAAUAUUGUCAUAUAAAUCUCUUAAUAUACCUAUUUAUUGUCAUAUCAGUUAUUAUAAGUACUUACUUACUGUGAUAUUAGUCCUUAUAUAAAAAUGUUGAUGUAGCACCGAGGGAUUAUUUUAACGUCAAGAACUAUAUUGACUAAUGAAGUGUACAAUCAUAGACUAUUUUAGAAUUUCGAUACAUUGAGAGACUAUGAUUGCUAUUCGUUACACAUUCAAAGAUCAAAACGGUUAUUUGCAUAUUAAAGUUUAGGUUGGACAUAACUCAAUACUACAAAACCAAAUUCCAAAUUAAGGACCACCCUUAGUGAUGCAGGAGGGUUUUCUUAGUAAUUUAGUAGUAUUUUAUUAUUUAAGUCUAAUUUUCUAGAACUUUUUAUUUUGUUUUCAGUUUAUUAUUUCUGGCCCAUUCGAGUUUGUUAUUUUCUUAUUUAAGCUUAACAGUUGUAACCUAAGAGAUAACUUAUAUUCAAUAAAUAAUAUUUUAGAAAGUUUUUUUCUCAAUUUCUAGUGGAUUUCGGAACCCUAUUUUCAUAAGUUCGUCGCUUGCGAACUUGUCCCUUUCAAUCUAGGUUAAGCGCUUGCUAGGAUACGCUUCCGUACUGCGUCACUUAGCCCCUUAUAAAAUAGGUUCAGGUCUUACUGAUCCAAUGUAGGACUUUAAAAACACCCCCUUACACCCAAGUAUGUACAUUAAAAGUGUGACAUGAAUGGCCCUAUAACAGUGACAUGCUAGCAAAUGAUUUAAUGAAUCUUGAGUAAGUUAUGAUAUCUUUGAAUUUAAUUCGAUGACUACCAUCAUUUAUAAAAACAUGUUCAAUCUUAUCCUAUUAAAAUGUGAGACUCUUAACGCAUCAUCUCUUGCUCGACAUUAUCUGGACUUGAAGACUCAUAUGUAUACACUAUUGUGUGAAAGGAAUAUUAGAAUUUAAGUUGUAACAAACUCAAUCUAAAAACACAUCAUAUUAGAAUUAUAUUUCAACAUACUAACACUUUAUUUUCUAGAAGCUCCCCUGAUAUGUAGCAUUGAAAUGUUAAUCUUUGAAAAUUUUUAGUCAAUUGGGGUGGGUGGGAACCACUCGUUUGUAUUACACGGUGUUUAGUCUCUCGUUGUUUCGUGGGAAGCAAGUUGGGUGAACAGUGAAUAUUCAUGGGAACCACCCUUUAAUGCCACAUUUUCACUUAGUUUAUGUUACUACUUUGCCACAUCUUCACUUAUACCAUAUGUAAUUAGAUACUAUACGUUUCUUUUACAAAUUACUACUUUUCUUUAAUGUUUCUGUUACUACCAUAUCAAACAUUGUUCAUAAAGUUUCUUUUUUGGAAUUUUAUAGAUGUUUUAGGGAUGUUGCAAUGUCAUUUAUUCUUUUUCAUACGAGGACGUUAUGGUUUGAGAAAAUUCGAUAAAUGAGAAAAUUCUCAUUGAAUCCAUUGAGAAAAUUAAAUAACUCAAAACAUAACUUAAAAUUUGUUAUGAAUAUUAUAAGUGGAUAUCCAUAUAGCAAUUGGAUUAUUGGAUUAUAUUGUUAGCUUAUUGGGUCAUAUUGUGCUUGCUCCCCAAGUCAUUCAUUGUAUUUCUCUAUAAAUAGAGCUCAUAUGUAACCUAAUUAGAGAUACCAAGAGAAUAAUAUAAUCCUCUUUCUUCUCUCUCUAUUCUCUCUUCUUCUCUUUAAUCUUGUUCUUCUUAUUCUAAUAGUUUCGUAACACGUUAUCAGCACGAGCUUACCAACUGAGGUAUGCAAUUCUUCUUAAUCUAUUUUUUAUGUAAAUAAGUUUUAAUUUUGUAUCAAUGAUUAUAGGCUAUACUGUUACAAUUCCAUCAAUUGAAAUCAGUGCCUUAUAGAUACAUUAAAUCAUUGUUAUGUGAAUUGUAAUUUAUUGUUGUGUUUAUUUAUUCUAUAUAUAAUAAUGAAGUGUUGCAUAAGAAUUGAUCUUCUCAUAUUAUAAAAUCAAAGAGAUCUAUUAUAUGGUUCCUGAAGAAGUCAAUAUUACUCUAUGUGAAUUUUGGAAGAAUUCAAAAGUGUGGUUCAUGAAGAACUCACUAUUAUUCUUUGUGGAUUCCUGAAUAAUUAAAAACCAUAGUUUCUGAAGAACUAAAUAUUAUUCUCUUUGAAUUUCAGAAGAAUUCAACAGCGUAGUUCGUAAAGAACUUAAUAUUUUUCUCUUUGAAUUCCUGAAGAAUUCAAAAGUGUUAAUCUAUGAAGGAAUGAUUGCUUGGAGAAUUAUUUUAUGGUUUAAAUUUAUUGCAUAGCUCUUGAAGAACUUAAAAAUCAAUCUUUAUCCUCCAUGAAUUCCUGAAAAAUUCAGUAGUGAUACAUCCAUGAAGGACUCAAAUUAUAUCAAUUAUCUUUUAUUUGAAAAUUUGAUCCAAAAAUUAUUUUCUAGAUUCUAUAUAUUUUUACUUUUCCAAAAUAAAAAACUAAUUCAAAAAGAUAAUGUAACUAAUUCAAUUUUUUUUCUAACUUUACGGUCCAUGUUUGUUAUGGAUACAACGUUAAUUCGAUGAGUUUUUCUACUUGCACCCUAGUUAAUCAUGGUUGCACCCCAAAAUGAUAAGAUUACCCUUUCAUAAAAUUUGAUUUUCAAAAAGCCUAUUCCUUCUUUUUUGGUUACACCCCAAAACCCUUCUUCCAAAACCAUAAUUCUCCAAUCGAUCGAUUGUGUUCUGCGAAGAUUUUCAAAACCAUACUUUCUCACGUCCAUUCAUGAUUUCAAAGAAAAUUCGAAGCAAAUCAGGUUAGCAAGUGUUGUUCUUCAAUCAAUUGUGUUUUUCUUGUUAUGGGUUCUCAGUUCUGAUUUUGUGUUUUCCUUGUUCUGCGAUUCACAGUUCUGCGAUUUUGUAAACUCAGUUUAAGUAGAUUCGUGUAAACUCAGUUUAAG